UACGGGGGGGGCAAGCGUUGUUCGGAAUUACUGGGCGUAAAGGGCGCGUAGGUGGCCAACUAAGUCAGACGUGAAAUCCCUCGGCUUAACCGGGGAACUGCGUCUGAUACUGGAUGGCUUGAGUUUGGGAGAGGGACGCGGAAUUCCAGGUGUAGCGGUGAAAUGCGUAGAUAUCUGGAGGAACACCGGUGGCGAAGGCGGCAUCCUGGACCAACACUGACGCUGAGUGAGCGAAAGCCAGGGGAGCAAACGGG
This 254-nucleotide ribosomal RNA is filed under the name uncultured bacterium. RNAcentral describes it as "partial 16S ribosomal RNA". It matches the Rfam family "Bacterial small subunit ribosomal RNA", at positions 524 to 776 of the family's 1533-position model. The record is from RNAcentral.